Callithrix jacchus (white-tufted-ear marmoset) is the source of this 708-nucleotide long non-coding RNA. NCBI's taxonomy places the organism in Eukaryota, Metazoa, Chordata, Mammalia, Primates, Cebidae. The record is from Ensembl.
CGCCGGAGCACGUCCCCUCCCCGCCGGGCGCCGGGCUCCGAGGGUGCCUCCGCCGCCUGCCCGCCGGCUCUGCCCCGGUGCGCGCGUGUGGGAGGGUGUGUGUCUGUGCCGUAGCCGCCGCCGCCGCCGCCUGUAGCUGAGGCUGGCAUCGCCGAGCCCCCGCGCGGGGGGCUGCCGCCCGAGCUCCUGAUUGACAGGCCGCCUCGCCAAUGCCUGGAGGGAGAAAGGAGAAUGCAUGUCUUCCUACCAGAUCGUAAGCUUGUCAGGGCCACAUCUGUCCUGCUUACUGCUGAAUCCCAGCUGGCAGAACAUAGACAUUUCAUAAUAUUUUUGGAGCAAAAGCAUCAAUCGGACUACCAUGUGUAAAGGCCGGCACAGGAUGAAGGAACAGUGUGGUGACUUGGGACGCCAUGCCAUGCUGCUGCAACCAUGUCUGUCUGUGGCUCUGUGUGUGUGCUCUGCACCUCUAGAUGAACUCAUCAAACAGCAUCUAUGGAAAAGCCCAUGGAACUCUCGCUGCCAGGCCAAGAGACGGGGUUUCGCCAUGUUGACCAGGCUGGUCUUGAACUCCUGAGCUCAAGUGAUGCAAACGCCUCAGCCUCCCAAAGAGUUGGAAUUAUAGGCAUGAUCCACCAUACCCAGCCUAUAUUUCUAAGGAAUUCUGCCUUCACGUUCUCACUAUCUGAGGUGCUGGUUUCGAACUCCUGA